AUAGAGACUCAGAGCUGCAUAUCAAUAAGCGGAGGAAAAGAAACUAACAAGGAUUCCCCUAGUAACGGCGAGUGAAGCGGGAAGAGCUCAAAUUUGAAAUCUUCAAGGGUUUCCCUUGACGAAUUGUAGUUUAAAGAAGUGUUUUCUGUUAGAGAGGUGGUAAAAGUUCUUUGGAAUAGGACAUCAUAGAGGGUGAGAAUCCCGUAUUUGAUCACUUUCUACUAACGUUGUGAUACACUUUCAAAGAGUCGGAUUGUUUGGGAAUGCAGUCCAAAAUGGGUGGUAAAUUUCAUCUAAAGCUAAAUACUGGCGAGAGACCGAUAGCGAACAAGUACCGUGAGGGAAAGAUGAAAAGAACUUUGAAAAGAGAGUUAAACAGUACGUGAAAUUGUCAAAAGGGAAGCGUUUGACACCAGUGUUGUUUUCUCGAAAAUCAAUUAAAAAUGGUGGGAUGUUGUGUUGUAUUGACUUUAUCAGCUUUCUGCACUUUUUUUCCUAUCUUUUUUAAUGCACUUUUCGUUUAACAAGUCAACAUCAAUUUCUUUUGUUGUAAAAGAGUCAUUGGAAGGUGGCUUUUUCUUCGGAGAAAGUGUUUAUAGCCUUUGGCUUCUGCAAUCGGAGAGAUUGAGGUCUGCAGCGUAGAUCCUUCGGGGUUAGAUACAUUUGUGCUAAGCUAUAGUUCUUUCAUAGACAACUUGUUGACUAUGAUCAGUCCUGUAGCUUACUCGCUUAUGCUAUUUUACCUACGCUUAGGAUGUUGAUAGUCACAGCGUGUAC
This 777-nucleotide ribosomal RNA is filed under the name uncultured Neocallimastigales. RNAcentral describes it as "partial large subunit ribosomal RNA". It matches the Rfam family "Eukaryotic large subunit ribosomal RNA", at positions 23 to 634 of the family's 3401-position model. The record is from RNAcentral. Lineage: Eukaryota; Fungi; Neocallimastigomycota; Neocallimastigomycetes; Neocallimastigales.